RNA transcript from Eublepharis macularius, 4207 nucleotides. It is a transcript of the gene named alanyl-tRNA synthetase 2, mitochondrial, with no coding region annotated. The record is from RefSeq and is a predicted model, not a curated record. NCBI's taxonomy places the organism in Eukaryota, Metazoa, Chordata, Lepidosauria, Squamata, Eublepharidae. The transcript is spliced from 21 exons.
UCGCAAUCCCAUCAUCCUCCGCGGCCAGGGUGACCUCUCCCGCAAUCUGGUUUUCGAGCCUCCCCGAAUUGCGCCCAUAGCUAAGAUGGCGGCGGCCGUCAAGGCUUCUGCGAGGAGAGUCCUGCGAGUGUCCCUCGGUUUGCGUCGCGGCUCUUGCCGCACUGGCUCCAGCGCCUCUUUCCCGGCUGCACGAGUGCGGCAGACUUUUCUCCAGUUCUUCCAGGAGCGUUAUGGCCAUCGAGUGGUGCCCUCGGCCCCUAUUCGGCCACAAGGAGACCCUAGCUUGCUCUUCGUCAAUGCUGGCAUGAACCAGUUCAAACCCAUUUUCCUGGGCACAGCAGAUCCCCGGAGUGAACUGACACGUUAUCAGCGGGUAGUGAACAGCCAAAAGUGUGUGCGUGCCGGUGGGAAGCACAACGAUCUGGAAGAUGUGGGCCAAGAUGUUUAUCAUCACACAUUCUUUGAAAUGCUGGGGAACUGGUCCUUUGGAGAUUAUUUCAAAGAGGAAGCAUGCAGGAUGGCAUGGGAGCUCCUCACACAGGUCUAUGAGAUCCCAAAGGACCGUCUGUACAUCACCUAUUUUGGAGGAGAUGCAAACCUUGGGCUAAGUGCUGAUGAAGAGACCAGGGAAAUAUGGCUAGGUCUAGGCGUGCCUCACCACCAUGUGCUUCCCUUUCAAUUGAAAGACAACUUCUGGGAGAUGGGUGAUACCGGACCCUGCGGGCCCUGCACAGAGAUCCAUUAUGAUCAUGUGGGUGGUGGCAGGAAUGUGGCAGCACUGGUAAAUCAGGGCAACCCUGACGUGGUAGAGAUCUGGAACUUGGUUUUCAUGCAGUUCAACAGAGAGACUGAUGGGAGUCUGCGUCAGUUGCCCCAGCGUCACGUGGACACAGGAAUGGGCUUGGAAAGAUUGUUGACAGUUCUGCAAAACAAGCACUCCAAUUAUGACACAGACCUCUUCACUCCUCUUCUGGAUGCCAUCUACAAGGGUUCUGGCAAACCCAGAUACCAGGGCUUGGUUGGGGAGGCAGAUACUGGACAUGUGGAUAUGGCUUACAGAGUGGUGGCAGAUCACGUGCGCGCUUUGUCUGUGUGCAUUGCUGAUGGUGUUUAUCCAGGCAUGUCUGGUGCCGAGCUUGUUCUGCGCCAUAUCUUGCGUAGGGCUGUGCGAUUUUGCUCUGAAGUUCUGCAGACUAAACCUGGGUUCCUGGCCAGCUUGGUUCCUAUUGUGGUAGAAAUUCUGGGAGAUGCCUAUCCAAAUCUGAAGAGAGAAACAGACAAGAUUAUGAAUAUCAUCAAUGAGAAUGAGAAUGCAUUUCUCUCCUGUCUCAUGCAAGGGCGUCGUGUUAUAAACAGAACACUCCAGCAGAUGGAUCAUUCCAAAGUCUUCCCAGUGGAAGUUGCUUGGGGUCUUUACAGAAACUUGGGAUUCCCUAUGGACCUUAUUGGCUUGAUGCUUGAAGAAAAUGCGGCCCAGUUGGACAUCACUGCUUUAGAUCAGCUGGCUCGGGAGGAUGCUGAACGUAAAGUUCCAAAACAGCAGGAGGAGAGCUCAGAGGUGCAGCUGGAUGUGCAUUCUCUAGCCAGGCUCCGGCAAGAUGGUGUACCUCUUACUGAUGAUUCUUCCGUGUUUGCCUAUGAACUUGGACAAGAUGGGAAAUAUGUCUUCAGUCCAUGUCAAGCCACUGUUCUGGUGCUGUAUAAAGAUGGGUCUCUCCAGAAGGAAGUUCGUGGGGGACAACGCUGUGGUGUCCUCCUGGACAGGACCUGCUUCUAUGCUGAGAAGGGUGGCCAGGCAUCUGAUCAAGGCUACAUGGUGCAUCUUGAGCAGCAGGAUGUGCUUUUCCCAGUGGAAUCUGUACAAGUUGCUGGUGGCUACGUGAUCCAUGAAGUUGUUGUUUCUGAGACCUUGAAGGCUGGGGACCAAGUGCAGCUCUUUGUAGAUGAGGCCCAGCGGCUGGCUUGCAUGGUGAACCAUACUGCCACCCACCUGCUGAACUUUGCACUUCGGCAAGUCUUGGGAGACUGCAUAGAACAGCGGGGGUCCCAAGUAACUUCUGAGCGGCUACACUUCAAUGUCAGCACCAAGACCCCUAUAAAGAUUGAACAGCUGCAAGAAAUAGAAGAUGUGAUCCAGGGAAUAAUCAAACAGAACAAGUUGAUCUACACAGCAGAAGUUCCCAUCAAGAUGACAAAUGGUGUGCAGGGACUCCGGAAACUGGAUGAAGUAUACCCUGAUCUGGCACGUAUAGUGUCCGUGGGGGUCCCAAUAGAGAGAAUAUUGGCUCCAGAGUCUCAGGAUGCCAGACAGGCUUCUGUGGAACUCUGCUGUGGAACGCAUCUUCUACAAACAGGAGAUGUGGAGGACCUCACUGUCAUCUCUGAGAGGCAGCUGGUUAAAGGGAUCAGCCAUAUCAUUGCAGUAACUGGAAAGCAAGCCAGGCAGGCCCGGGAAGCUGGCCAGUUUUUAGCAAAGGAAGUAGACUCCCUGACCAUGCGCGUGAAACAGGGAGGGGCCUCUCUAGAUGGAAUGCAGAGACUCUCCAGGGAGGUGGGACGUCUGACUGAAACGGUGGAUCAUACUGCAAUGCCCCAGGGGCUAAAAAGGGAACUUCAGGCCACUCUCAAAACUCUGCAGCGAGCAGCCAAUUCUGCCAUUAGAAAACAGGAAACCAGACUGAAGCCUUGUUAAUAGGAAAAUCAGGAACCAAAGUACUGUUUUUCGGGCACCCAAGAGCUUUGUGCUACUCCACUAGGAUUUUUGGCUCCCCUCUUCCUUUGAACAGCACAUCUCCAGCACAUCACAGACUGCAUUUGCAACUCCCUUCAGUUUCAAAAGUAGUUUGCUACAUGCCUGGGACUGCUAUUCAGAUAAUAUGUCUAGAGCCUCCUUGGAUGAAUGGAACCAACUUGAGUUAAUUUAGGUCAGGAUUCAAAGAGUUGGGGCUUUUCUUAAGUCUUUUGGGAGAAGUUUUUUAAAAAUUACCAACUUAACUACCACAUUAGCCUGUGUGUAUCACAGGCUGUGCAAAAGGAAAAGAGAUUUAGUAUAAAAUGAACAUUAGAGUGGGAUAGUUAGAUGUGGCAUGUUCUGAGCACUAGAAUUUUUUGCAGUCACCACCUUCAUGUUUCUCAACCCACAGCCAUGAAGAUUAGAAAGUUGUUCUUUUUAAUGAGCAGUAAAAUGUGCAUAUAGCGAUAAGCAAAUACCCAAGUUUAAUCAUGAUCUCAUUUGGAUUCAUUGCAGAUUCAUUAAAAUUCUCCUAUGCUUGCUUUCCCUAGAUAUAUUUCCAAGCAGUUUGAAUAGAGUUGGAUAAAUGUUCAGCUAUUUACUAAUUUAUUCACUUUGUUUAUUUACAUGACUUAAAUAAAAUUUAUAUACUACACCUUUUCUCCCCAGUGGGGACCCAAAGCAGCAUACAUCAUUCUCUCCUCCUCCAUUUUAUCUUCACAACAACCCUGUGAGGUAGGUUAGGCUGAGAGACCCAAGGUUACCUAGCAAGAUUCUGUGGCAGAGUGGAGAGUCGAACCUGUCUACCAGGUCCGUCAUUCUAGCCCCUAACACCACACUGGCUGUUUAUGGCUCUGGCUAUUUAAGGCACUUCUGUAGUACCUUUCCAUACUAGAAAGUACGCAAGGCAGCUUUCAGUAACAAAAAUUACGACCUACAAACAUAUUAAAACAAAUCAAUGAAAAUGAUGACAGCACACGAUCAUCAAAAUUACAGUUUAAAACCAUCAGCAGAGGAAAAAACAGCUUUGAAAUUAACCCACAGACAUUAAUUGCUGUCUCAGGCUUGGAUAAAAGGACAGACUUAGUUUGGUAUCUAAAUCCUAACAGUGAUAGCAGCAGGGGAUUCCAGUGCCAGGGCCCCAUGACAAAGGAGUCCUAAUCUCAGAAGGCAGGGAUACCCAGGAAUACCUUGUUGAAACAGCUACCUAAUGUGGAUCCUGUGGGCAUUCAAAUGAUGUGAAGUGACAAUGUGGGUAUGAUCUUCUGUAAACAUCAUUCCUGACCCAGUGGUACUUUCACCACAUUCAAAAAUGCACAGUGUAUCUUCUGAUCCUGCAGGCUGUGGAGAAGGUGCAUGACCUGCUGGUCAAGCAUUCCAACGAACCCGUCAUAAUUGAUGCCAUCCCUGUUGAGUCGCCCUCGAUCCUGAUGAAAGUGGUCAACCAGAUGUGUGACAAAGUACCAGAAGCCUCUG